Molecule: unclassified non-coding RNA, 352 nt
Filed under: uncultured Orbilia
Lineage: Eukaryota; Fungi; Ascomycota; Orbiliomycetes; Orbiliales; Orbiliaceae
Description: sequence contains ITS1
Rfam family: 5.8S ribosomal RNA (bases 1-105)
Source: RNAcentral
GAAACGCGAUAGUUAAUGUGAAUUGCAGAAUUUAGUGAAUCAUCGAAUCUUUGAACGCACAUUGCGCCCCUUGGUAUUCCGAAGGGCAUGUCUGUUUGAGCGUCAUUACAACACUUCGUUAACAAUUUUGUUGUCAACGGUUAUGAGCGUGGCUGGUGCACUGGUUUGAAGACCAUUAGCACGCCCUGCUUCAAAUUUAAUAAAGGAUGCUUUGCUAGCCGGGCCUUUGAAACUUUACGUAGUAGUAUUUCACAAACCGUUCAGUGAAAAAAGGUACCGCAUGGCCUGAAAAAUAACGCCCAACCUCUCUAGGUUUGACCUCAGAUCAGACAAGGAUACCCGCUGAACUUAA